UACGUAGGUGGCGAGCGUUGUCCGGAUUUACUGGGCGUAAAGCGUGCGCAGGCGGUGAUGUAAGACAGGUGUGAAAUCCCCGGGCUCAACCUGGGAACUGCAUUUGUGACUGCAUGGCUAGAGUGCGGCAGAGGGGGAUGGAAUUCCGCGUGUAGCAGUGAAAUGCGUAGAUAUGCGGAGGAACACCGAUGGCGAAGGCAAUCCCCUGGGCCUGCACUGACGCUCAUGCACGAAAGCGUGGGGAGCAAACAGG
Molecule: ribosomal RNA, 253 nt
Filed under: uncultured bacterium
Lineage: Bacteria
Description: partial 16S ribosomal RNA
Rfam family: Bacterial small subunit ribosomal RNA
Source: RNAcentral